Molecule: transfer RNA, 74 nt
Filed under: Methanopyri archaeon
Lineage: Archaea; Methanobacteriati; Methanobacteriota; Methanopyri
Also listed under: 1 other name
Description: tRNA-Ile
Rfam family: tRNA
About the family: Transfer RNA (tRNA) molecules are approximately 80 nucleotides in length. Their secondary structure includes four short double-helical elements and three loops (D, anti-codon, and T loops). Further hydrogen bonds mediate the characteristic L-shaped molecular structure. tRNAs have two regions of fundamental functional importance: the anti-codon, which is responsible for specific mRNA codon recognition, and the 3' end, to which the tRNAs corresponding amino acid is attached (by aminoacyl-tRNA synthetases). tRNAs cope with the degeneracy of the genetic code in two manners: having more than one tRNA (with a specific anti-codon) for a particular amino acid; and 'wobble' base-pairing, i.e. permitting non-standard base-pairing at the 3rd anti-codon position.
Source: RNAcentral
GGGCUCGUAGCUCAGCCGGUUAGAGCGCCGGUCUUAUAAGCCGGAGGUCAGGGGUUCAAGCCCCCUCGGGCCCA